AAUAGCCUAACGGCUGAACCAGCAACUUGGAGGAAUGUAUAGCUAAGCUAAAUGUAGAAAAAACAUAUUCGAUUUAUUCGUAUAAAAUUCUAGGUAGAGUUAUGAUAAUGACAUUUUCUAUCUACAGGUCUUGACCAACAUGCGUGCCAGCAGUCGCGGCAAGACGCUAAAGACUAGUGUUAUUCAUUUUUAAUAGGUUUAAAGGGUACCUAGACGGUAAAUUAAGCCUUAAUGGGAACUAAUUUAACUAGAGUUAGAUGUAAGGGUGCAUUAAGGUACUAUUGAGUGUAGAGAUGAAAUUCUUUGAUACCAGAUAAUUGGCACGGGUAUAGGCGAAAGCAUCACCUUAUGUAAUAACUGACGUUGAGGGACGAAGGCUUUGUAUCGCUAAAAGGAUUAGAUACCCUAGUAGUCUAAGCAGAAAAUGAUGAGUGUCAUAGGUUAAAUAUUAUUUAGUCUAUAAAUGAAAGUGUAAGCAUUCCACCUCAAGAGUAAUUUGGCAACAUUGGAAUUGAAAUCAUUAGACCGUUUUUGAAACCAGUAGUGAAGUAUGUUGUUUAAUUUGAUGAUCCACAAAAAACCUUACCACAACUUGAAUAUUUUACAAGCGUUGCACGGCUGUCUUCAGUUAAUGUCGUGAGACUUUGGUUAGUUCCAUUAAAUUAGCGUAAUCCCUUGCUUUAUUUUACUUAAUAUAAAGUAGUUCGCCGUUAUAUUGGUUUUGAUAAAAGGGAGUAAGACA
This 742-nucleotide ribosomal RNA is filed under the name Leptogium tiinae. Its description in RNAcentral is "SSU rRNA". It matches the Rfam family "Bacterial small subunit ribosomal RNA", at positions 370 to 1175 of the family's 1533-position model. The record is from RNAcentral. Lineage: Eukaryota; Fungi; Ascomycota; Lecanoromycetes; Peltigerales; Collemataceae.